AGUGAACGCUGGCGGUAGGCCUAACACAUGCGAGUCGAACGGCAGCACAGUAAGAGCUUGCUCUUACGGGUGGCGAGUGGCGGACGGGUGAGGAAUACAUCGGAAUCUACUUUUUCGUGGGGGAUAACGUAGGGAAACUUACGCUAAUACCGCAUACGACCUACGGGUGAAAGCAGGGGAUCUUCGGACCUUGCGCGAUUGAAUGAGCCGAUGUCGGAUUAGCUAGUUGGCGGGGUAAAGGCCCACCAAGGCGACGAUCCGUAGCUGGUCUGAGAGGAUGAUCAGCCACACUGGAACUGAGACACGGUCCAGACUCCUACGGGAGGCAGCAGUGGGGAAUAUUGGACAAUGGGCGCAAGCCUGAUCCAGCCAUACCGCGUGGGUGAAGAAGGCCUUCGGGUUGUAAAGCCCUUUUGUUGGGAAAGAAAGGCAGCAGGUUAAUACCCCGCUGUUCUGACGGUACCCAAAGAAUAAGCACCGGCUAACUUCGUG
Molecule: ribosomal RNA, 492 nt
Filed under: uncultured bacterium
Lineage: Bacteria
Description: partial 16S ribosomal RNA
Rfam family: Bacterial small subunit ribosomal RNA
Source: RNAcentral